RNAcentral lists this ribosomal RNA (700 nucleotides) under Bacillus subtilis. RNAcentral's name for it is "bacterial SSU rRNA". It matches the Rfam family "Bacterial small subunit ribosomal RNA", at positions 36 to 724 of the family's 1533-position model. The record is from RNAcentral. Lineage: Bacteria; Bacillati; Bacillota; Bacilli; Caryophanales; Bacillaceae.
CUUGGGGCGGCUAUCAUGCAGUCGAGCGGACAGAUGGGAGCUUGCUCCCUGAUGUUACGGCGGACGGGUGAGUAACACGUGGGUAACCUGCCUGUAAGACUGGGAUAACUCCGGGAAACCGGGGCUAAUACCGGAUGGUUGUCUGAACCGCAUGGUUCAGACAUAAAACGUGGCUUCGGCUACCACUUACAGAUGGACCCGCGGCGCAUUAGCUAGUUGGUGAGGUAACGGCUCACCGAGGCGACGAUGCGUAGCCGACCUGAGAGGGUGAUCGGCCACACUGGGACUGAAACCCUGCCCAAACUCCUACUGGAGGCAACAGUACGGAAUCUUCCGCAAUGGACCAAAGUCUGACCGAGCAACACCACGUGAGUGAUGAAGGUUUUCUGAUCCUAAAGCUCUGAUGUUAGGGAAAAACAACUGCCGUUCAAAUAGGGCGGCACCUUGACGGUACCUAACCAGAAAGCCACGGCUAACUACGUGCCAUCAGCCGCGGUAAUACGUAAGUGGCAAGCGUUGUCCGGAAUUAUUGGGCGUAAAGGGCUCGCAGGCGGUUUCUUAAUUCUGAUGUGAAAGCCCCCGGCUCAACCGGGGAGGGUCAUUGCAAACUGGGGAACUUGACUGCAAAAUACGAGAGUGGAAUUCCACAUGUAGCGGUGAAAUGCGUAUAUAUGUGGAGGAACACCAGUGGCGAAGGCGA